Molecule: ribosomal RNA, 508 nt
Filed under: uncultured bacterium
Lineage: Bacteria
Description: bacterial SSU rRNA
Rfam family: Bacterial small subunit ribosomal RNA
Source: RNAcentral
UAGUCCAUGCCCUAAACGAUGCUUACUCGAUGUUUGGGUUUAUCCUGAGCAUCCAAGGGAAACCGUUAAGUAAGCCACCUGGGGAGUACGUUCGCAAGAAUGAAACUCAAAGGAAUUGACGGGGGUCCGCACAAGCGGGGGAGCAUGUGGUUUAAUUCGAUGAUACGCGAGGAACCUUACCUGGGCUAGAAUGCUUUUGGACAGAUGCCGAAAGGUGUUUUUCUCUUCGGAGACCGAUUGCAAGGUGCUGCAUGGUUGUCGUCAGCUCGUGCCGUGAGGUGUUGGGUUAAGUCCCGCAACGAGCGCAACCCCUAUCCUUAGUUGCCAGCGAGUAAUGUCGGGGACUCUAGGGAAACUGCCUACGCAAGUAGUGAGGAAGGCGGGGAUGACGUCAAAUCAUCAUGGCCCUUACGCCCAGGGCUACACACAUGCUACAAUGGUUGAUACAGAGGGUAGCGACAUAGCGAUAUGAAGCCAGUCUCAAAAAGUCAAUCUCAGUUCGGAUUGG